RNAcentral lists this ribosomal RNA (621 nucleotides) under uncultured bacterium. RNAcentral's name for it is "bacterial SSU rRNA". The stretch from base 1 to 540 matches the Rfam family "Bacterial small subunit ribosomal RNA", at positions 338 to 873 of the family's 1533-position model. The record is from RNAcentral.
CCUACGGGAGGCAGCAGUGGGGAAUCUUGCGCAAUGGGCGAAAGCCUGACGCAGCGACGCCGCGUGGGGGAAGAAGGCCUUAGGGUUGUAAACCUCUUUCAGGUGGGACGAAGCCACUCGGGUUAAUAGCCCAGAGGGUGGCGGUACCGCCAGAAGAAGCCCCGGCUAACUACGUGCCAGCAGCCGCGGUAAUACGUAGGGGGCAAGCGUUGUCCGGAUUUAUUGGGCGUAAAGAGCGUGUAGGCGGCUAGGUAGGUGGGUUGUGAAAACUGGAGGCUCAACCUUCAGACGUCGACCCAAACCCCCUGGCUAGAGUCCGGAAGAGGAGAGUGGAAUUCCUGGUGUAGCGGUGAAAUGCGCAGAUAUCAGGAAGAACACCCGUGGCGAAGGCGGCUCUCUGGGACGGUACUGACGCUGAGACGCGAAAGCGUGGGGAGCGAACAGGAUUAGAUACCCUGGUAGUCCACGCCGUAAACGGAUGGGUGCUAGGUNUGGGGGUGUCGAUCCCCCGUACCGAAGCUAACGCAUUAAGCCNCCGCCGUCGGAGGUACGGCGCGAGACGAACGUACAAGAGUAGUAGACGCGNGAAGUAGUCGACGACGACGACGACGGAGGAGGAGG